This 819-nucleotide ribosomal RNA is filed under the name uncultured bacterium. RNAcentral describes it as "bacterial SSU rRNA". It matches the Rfam family "Bacterial small subunit ribosomal RNA", at positions 88 to 884 of the family's 1533-position model. The record is from RNAcentral.
GAGUAGAGCGGCGCACGGGUGCGUAACACGUGGAUAAUCUGCCCUUGAAUUCGGGAUAACCUUCCGAAAGGUUGGCUAAUACCGGGUAAGCUCACGGUGACUUCGGUCGCUGUGGGAAAAGUAGACCUCUGUUUACAAGUUUACGUUUGAGGAUGAGUCCGCGGCCCAUCAGCUAGUUGGCGGGGUAAUGGCCCACCAAGGCUACGACGGGUAGCUGGUCUGAGAGGACGAUCAGCCACACUGGAACUGAGACACGGUCCAGACUCCUACGGGAGGCAGCAGUGGGGAAUUUUCCACAAUGGGCGAAAGCCUGAUGGAGCAACGCCGCGUGUGUGAUGAAGGUCUUCGGAUCGUAAAGCACUUUCGACCGGGACGAAAAACCUCUGGCUAACAUCCAGGGGCCUGACGGUACCGGGAGAAGAAGCACCGGCUAACUCUGUGCCAGCAGCCGCGGUAAUACAGAGGGUGCAAGCGUUGUUCGGAAUUAUUGGGCGUAAAGCGCGUGUAGGCGGCUUGGCAAGUCAGAUGUGAAAGCCCAUGGCUUAACCAUGGAAGUGCGUCUGAAACUGCUGAGCUUGAGUGCCGGAGAGGAUGGCGGAAUUCCGCAAGUAGAGGUGAAAUUCGUAGAUAUGCGGAGGAACACCGGUGGCGAAGGCGGCCAUCUGGACGGCAACUGACGCUGAGACGCGAAAGCGUGGGGAGCAAACAGGAUUAGAUACCCUGGUAGUCCACGCUGUAAACGAUGAGAACUAGGUGUCGUGGGUGUUGACCCCCGCGGUGCCGUAGCUAACGCAUUAAGUUCUCCGCCUGGGAAGUACG